RNAcentral lists this ribosomal RNA (146 nucleotides) under Cladonia dimorphoclada. RNAcentral describes it as "5.8S ribosomal RNA". It matches the Rfam family "5.8S ribosomal RNA". From Rfam's summary of the family: 5.8S ribosomal RNA (5.8S rRNA) is a component of the large subunit of the eukaryotic ribosome. It is transcribed by RNA polymerase I as part of the 45S precursor that also contains 18S and 28S rRNA. Lineage: Eukaryota; Fungi; Ascomycota; Lecanoromycetes; Lecanorales; Cladoniaceae. RNAcentral also lists the same sequence under 4 other names. The record is from RNAcentral.
AACUUUCAACAACGGAUCUCUUGGUUCUGGCAUCGAUGAAGAACGCAGCGAAAUGCGAUAAGUAAUGUGAAUUGCAGAAUUCAGUGAAUCAUCGAAUCUUUGAACGCACAUUGCGCCCCUCGGUAUUCCGGGGGGCAUGCCUGUUC